AUUUAUUUGGGAUUUAUAGAGGGUGCAUACGCUUGCUCACAAUAUGGAAAAACUGAAGCAGAAAAUAAAGACAAGAAAGGGAAGAUUACAGAAAGAAAGAAAAUAUGCUAGUACUUUGUGUACUAGGGACCUUUGUUGAAUUUAGGGUCCGCCUAGAUAAUCUGACCUGGAUCUCCUCAUCUUCUGACCCUUAACUUGAUUACAUCUGCAAAGAUUCUUUUUCCAAAUAAGAGAAACUAAUGUCCAGAGAAUAUCAAGAAACCGAAGCUUCCCAGGCCCAACUCCUC
Molecule: long non-coding RNA, 287 nt
Organism: Equus quagga
Lineage: Eukaryota; Metazoa; Chordata; Mammalia; Perissodactyla; Equidae
Exons: 3
Source: RefSeq, a predicted model, not a curated record